CUCUUAUUCACUCUCAUCUGAUUUUUUAAGACCAUUCAAAGUGUUCUCUCAAUAUUCAACCUCAAGAACACCAAGGAAAACUUGGAGGCUAAGUCUUGGUCUAGGAAGUAUUUUCCCUAAGUUGGUUAGGGUUUUUGAAAGGUUUUGGAGGAGCCAAAGCUAAUAGGAAGGUCCAAACCUUAAGCAAGAACACCAAAGAGGUCAGUGCAAGGGCAAGGCAGAGCAGUGAGCGCUGGAGUCUUCCUUGCAAAUGUACAUGUGGACCGACCUUUUGGAA
Molecule: long non-coding RNA, 277 nt
Organism: Humulus lupulus (European hop)
Lineage: Eukaryota; Viridiplantae; Streptophyta; Magnoliopsida; Rosales; Cannabaceae
Exons: 3
Source: RefSeq, a predicted model, not a curated record